AGGCCACGGCUUGAGCGCCCGUGCGGCUCCGACAGCGGUGUUGUACUGCCACCUAGCGGCCGAGCUGGAAAACGAUGCGUCGCCCGGCGUUAAGUACGGGGUUUGAGUCAAGCUGGUUGGCUCGUCAUCGAGUCCGUCGGUCAAGCGGAGCCGUCGGUUCCCCGGCACAGGGCUCCGUUCUCAUUACAGCAGCCCUGACUAGAAGGUCACUGCGCGAGGAGGAGGACGAUGCCUCAUUCCCAGCGAAGGGGAAGGAGCACGGAGCUGGUGCUGCCUCUGAGGAUUAAUAGACUUGACCACACAUUUCAAGAGGGUAAAGCAAGAUGGAGCAGAGUAGGAGCAGUAAGCACAGUAAAGCCAUAAAAGAUCUGACAUUGAAGUUGUACUGAAGUGGACUACUUGAGAUUUUAGACUAACAUGAGGUAAGUAAGAAUAAC
RNAcentral lists this long non-coding RNA (437 nucleotides) under Numida meleagris (helmeted guineafowl). RNAcentral's name for it is "lncRNA (ENSNMEG00000021923.1)". Lineage: Eukaryota; Metazoa; Chordata; Aves; Galliformes; Numididae. The record is from RNAcentral.